AGCGAACGUUAGCGGCGGGCCUAACACAUGCAAGUCGAACGCGAAAGGUCUUCGGACUGAGUAGAGUGGCGCACGGGUGAGUAACACGUAGGUAAUCUACCCUUUGGCGGGGGAUAACGUUCCGAAAGGAGCGCUAAUACCGCAUAAGACCACGGAGUCUCCGGACGCUGUGGGAAAAGGUGGCCUCUUCUUGAAAGCUACCACCGAAGGACGAGCCUGCGUCCCAUCAGCUAGUUGGUAAGGUAAUGGCUUACCAAGGCGAAGACGGGUAGCUGGUUUGAGAGAAUGAUCAGCCACACUGGCACUGGAACACGGGCCAGACUCCUACGGGAGGCAGCAGUGAGGAAUAUUGGGCAAUGGGCGAAAGCCUGACCCAGCCACGCCGCGUGAGUGAUGAAGGCCCUCGGGUCGUAAAGCUCUGUGGAGAGGGACGAAAACCCUGGUUUCAAAUAGGCUCCAGGCUUGACGGUACCUCUUUAGCAAGCACCGGCUAACUCUGUGCCAGCAGCC
This 510-nucleotide ribosomal RNA is filed under the name uncultured bacterium. RNAcentral's name for it is "bacterial SSU rRNA". It matches the Rfam family "Bacterial small subunit ribosomal RNA", at positions 29 to 516 of the family's 1533-position model. The record is from RNAcentral.